This is a long non-coding RNA of Symphalangus syndactylus (siamang), 315 nucleotides long. RefSeq lists it as uncharacterized. Lineage: Eukaryota; Metazoa; Chordata; Mammalia; Primates; Hylobatidae. The record is from RefSeq and is a predicted model, not a curated record.
GCAGUGCCUCACCUGAUGAGACGAGGUACGUUGUUUCUGCAGCUGCCUGCCUUAGGUCAGACCUCAGCUUUGCCAUUUCUGACUGCUCGGGGUCCUGCUCUGUUGCCCAGGCUGGAGUGCAAUAGCACAAUCUCGGCUCACUGCAGUCUCCACUUCCCAUGCUCAAGUGAUUCUCCUGCCUCAGCCCCCCAAGUAGUUCGGACUACAGGCAUGCGCCACCAUGCCUGGCUAACUUUUGUAUGUUUUGUAGACAUGGGGUAUCGCCCUAUUGCCCAGGCUGGUGUCAAACUCCUGAGCUCAAGUGAUCCGUCCACC